RNAcentral lists this transfer RNA (77 nucleotides) under Streptomyces djakartensis. RNAcentral describes it as "tRNA-Leu". Lineage: Bacteria; Bacillati; Actinomycetota; Actinomycetes; Kitasatosporales; Streptomycetaceae. The record is from RNAcentral.
CGGGCGCGGGCGGCGGCCCGCCGCCUCGCCGAGGUCGAGGCCGAGCCCGCCACCGCGUUCGGUGCGCGCCGCCUGCC